RNAcentral lists this ribosomal RNA (653 nucleotides) under uncultured Alphaproteobacteria bacterium. Its description in RNAcentral is "bacterial SSU rRNA". It matches the Rfam family "Bacterial small subunit ribosomal RNA", at positions 59 to 765 of the family's 1533-position model. Lineage: Bacteria; Pseudomonadati; Pseudomonadota; Alphaproteobacteria. The record is from RNAcentral.
AAGCGAACGAAGUAGCAAUACUUAGUGGCAGACGGGUGAGUAACAUGUAGGUAUCUGCCCUUUGGCCUGGAAUAACACGAGGAAACUUGUGCUAAUACCGGAUAAGUCUUUACGGAGAAAGCUUUAUGCACCAUUGGAUGAGCCUGCACUUGAUUAGUUUGUUGGUGGGGUAAUGGCCUACCAAGACUGUGAUCAAUAGCUGAUUUGAGAGGAUGAUCAGCCACAUUGGGACUGAGACACGGCCCAAACUCCUACGGGAGGCAGCAGUGGGGAAUCUUGCACAAUGGAGGAAACUCUGAUGCAGCGAUGCCGCGUGAGUGAAGAAGGCCUUUGGGUUGUAAAGCUCUUUCGUCGGGGAAGAAAAUGACUGUACCCGAAUAAGAAGGUCCGGCUAACUUCGUGCCAGCAGCCGCGGUAAUACGAAGGGACCUAGCGUAGUUCGGAAUUACUGGGCUUAAAGAGUUCGUAGGUGGUUGAAAAAGUCGGUGGUGAAAUCCCAGAGCUUAACUCUGGAACUGCCAUCAAACUUUCAGCUAAAGUAUGAUAGAGGAAAGCCGAAUUCUAGUGUUCAGGUGACAUUCGUAGAUAUUAGAAAGAAUACCAAUUGCGAAGGCUGCUUCCGGAUCAUUCUGACCUGAGGAACGAAGCUGGUA